This 493-nucleotide ribosomal RNA is filed under the name uncultured bacterium. Its description in RNAcentral is "bacterial SSU rRNA". It matches the Rfam family "Bacterial small subunit ribosomal RNA", at positions 15 to 507 of the family's 1533-position model. The record is from RNAcentral.
GAUCCUGGCUCAGAUUGAACGCUGGCGGAAUGCUUUACACAUGCAAGUCGAACGGUAGAGGGGGCAACCCCUCGAGAGUGGCGAACGGGUGAGUAAUAUAUCGGAACGUGCCCAGUCGUGGGGGAUAACGUAGCGAAAGUUACGCUAAUACCGCAUACGAUCUACGGAUGAAAGCGGGGGAUCGCAAGACCUCGCGCGAUUGGAGCGGCCGAUAUCAGAUUAGGUAGUUGGUGGGGUAAAGGCUCACCAAGCCAACGAUCUGUAGCUGGUCUGAGAGGACGACCAGCCACACUGGAACUGAGACACGGUCCAGACUCCUACGGGAGGCAGCAGUGGGGAAUUUUGGACAAUGGACGCAAGUCUGAUCCAGCCAUUCCGCGUGCAGGAUGAAGGCCCUCGGGUUGUAAACUGCUUUUGUACGGAACGAAAAGGUUUCCAUUAAUACUGGGAGCUCAUGACGGUACCGUAAGAAUAAGCACCGGCUAACUACGUG